RNAcentral lists this ribosomal RNA (260 nucleotides) under Francisella tularensis subsp. holarctica. RNAcentral's name for it is "partial 16S ribosomal RNA". It matches the Rfam family "Bacterial small subunit ribosomal RNA", at positions 866 to 1125 of the family's 1533-position model. The record is from RNAcentral. Lineage: Bacteria; Pseudomonadati; Pseudomonadota; Gammaproteobacteria; Thiotrichales; Francisellaceae.
ACUGCGCCUGGGGACUACGGCCGCAAGGCUAAAACUCAAAGGAAUUGACGGGGACCCGAACAAGCGGUGGAGCAUGUGGUUUAAUUCGAUGCAACGCGAAGAACCUUACCUGGUCUUGACAUCCUGCGAACUUUAUAGAGAUAGAUUGGUGCCUUCGGGAACGCAGUGACAGGUGCUGCACGGCUGUCGUCAGCUCGUGUUGUGAAUUGUUGGGUUAAGUCCCGCAACGAGCGCAACCCCUAUUUAUAGUUACCAUCAUU